GAUAACAAUAAAAAAACAAAAUAAAGAAAUCACGAUUUCAAAAUUUGAAUAUCGUAACGCCAAAAGCUUCAAUAACUCUUCUUCUUCUUAAAACUCACAUCACACAUCUGAUACCUCCUCCUCUAACCCCAAAACAAAACAAAAAUGGCGUCUCUCGCACCAGGCAUCCUAUUGAAACUCCUCCAAUCAAUGAACUCCAACACUCGCCCUACCGGAGACCACAGAUCCGCCAUCCUCCAAGUCACCGGAAUCGUACCCGCCCUCGCCGGGUCCGAUCUACGCCCUAACCAAGGCUUCUACGUCCAGAUCUCCGACUCUCUCAACUCCACCUACGUCUGCCUCUCCGAGCGCGACACAGAUCUCAUCCUCACCAACCGUCUCCAGCUCGGCCAGUUCAUCUACCUCGAACGCCUCGAAUUCUCCACUCCUCUCCCGCGCGCCGCCGAAAUCCGCCCCGUCGCCGGCGGCCGUCAAGCCUUCGUCGGAACUCCCGAGCCGCUGAUCGCACGCGGAUCCAAGCGAGAUUUCGUCAUCCAGCCUGUCCCCGCUUCUGACUACUCCCUCGACCCAAUCGCUGUUUACUUAAACAACAAACGACUCAACGACUAUGACGAUGAUGACGUGGCAGCGGCGGUUACGAAAGAGAGGCCAGCUGUUUACUUGAACAACAAACGACUAGAUAACUAUGACGAUGACGUGGCAGCGGCGGUUACGAAAGAGAGGCCAGCUGUUUACUUAAACAACAAACGACUAGAUAACUAUGACGAUGAUGACGUGGCGGGGGCCGUUACGAAAGAGAGACCAGCGCUUGCUCCUGUGAACCAAAACCGCAAUGAGAGAACUAAGCAGACGCCGCAGAGAUUCUCCUCACCAGCUUCGGCUAAGCAGCGGUCAGUCUCAGCUGGGAAGAAGAAGAACAUCUCUGUAGAAAGAGAUCCAUCUCCUGCGGUUUCCGCAAAAGGGAGGAGAUCCGCGUCUCCGGUUCCGUCGAAAUGCGUAGUGCCGAGCCUUGCGGCGGCGCGUGAGGAGAAUAGGAAGGUUGCUAGAGAGGCAGCCAUCGUUGUGCCGUCAAGAUACAGGCAACCGUCACCUAACGGAAGGAAGGUGAUACCAUCUCCUAGUGGAAGGAGACUGUCGAUUUCGCCGGGGAGGAGGCUUUCAAGUGGUUUGAAAAUGUCUCCCAUGGUUGGAGAUUCUUCGGGAAGAAGAAGAUGGCGGCAAUUGCUGCGGGGAUUUCCAAAGUGUCUGAGGCUCUUGUCGGAUCUACAGCUAAGAAUGGUAACCGAAAGAACUGGGAUGAACCUGAUGGAAGUGUUCAAUCUGAGCACAAGGAGAAGAGGAAGACUGAUCUUCAAGGGAUUUUGCGUACUCAGGCUGCUAUGACGAGACGUCUUAGUGAUGCAAAUAGGCGAAAGAGUGAUUCUUCAGCAUGUGAAGAGAAAGCCAAGUCUUGUUCAUCUGCGAGUAGUUUAGUGGAAGAAGAAGUCUCAGCUUUUGAAGGACUUGGGAUCACUUAUCAUGAUAGGAAAUGGACGGAUGGUAGUGUUCCACUGGAUAGCAUCUCAGGGGACCUCGCUAGACUUGCAAAGGAAGCUUUGCAAAGAAGAAACUUUGCUGCUAAAGCUGCGGCUCGUGCAUUGGAGGAGGCUAAUGCCAAUGAGUGCAUUAUUAGAUGUUUAAGUAAAUUCGCUGAGCUUUCUUCAGCCUCCAAACAGGAGAAUCCAUUGCGAAUCAUCAACAAGUUUUUGACAAUCUAUGGAGAUGUUACGAAAUACAGUCAGAUUGUUUCUGAAGAUAGUUUUCGGUCUUCAUCUGAUCAACGAAGUCCAGUCUCUCUUUGGGUUGAAGCUGCAUUAGCAACUAACCUCGAGGUGGUCUCACUGGUCAAAAGCCAGAACAGCCUAGAAUCACCAUCUUCAGUGAAGAAACAAACGCCUACUCGCCUCUCUCCCGGACCUUCUACAAAGACAGACAACAUUGUUGGGAUGUGGACAGACAAAGAUGGCAUGAACGAGACAGCUAAAUUCGCAGUGAGCGUACGAUCUGAGAUGCAAACGUGGUUCAUUGGGUUCGUGGAAGAGUCGUUAGACAACAAAAAUGCGCGGCCUUUAGACGGUAGUUCCAUAGCUGCAGUUCUGUCUCAGCUGAAACAAGUCAACGAGUGGUUGGACCGUGUCGUGUCUGACCAAGAAAACCAGAUCCCAACAAUGCAUUUAACGGACAAGAUUGAACGACUGAAACGCAAAAUCUAUGGAUUCGUAAUCCACCACGUCGGUUCUACUUUUGACAACUCUGCUUCUUCUUGAUUCUUUCUUUAAUCUUUCGCUUUUGUCCUCAAGAUAACGUGAGGCUUAAGAUCAUUGGUUCGUAGAUCAUAUGAUUUUAUCCUUAGAUUAUUUUUGCUUGAAUUGUU
RNA transcript from Raphanus sativus (radish), 2413 nucleotides. RefSeq lists it as uncharacterized. The transcript has 5 exons. Lineage: Eukaryota; Viridiplantae; Streptophyta; Magnoliopsida; Brassicales; Brassicaceae. The record is from RefSeq and is a predicted model, not a curated record.